UCCACUGAAAAUUCAUGCUGACAUCGAACAAUGCAGAAAGAGGCUUGGCCCCUCUUGUCAAAUCGAGAUGAAAAGAACGUAACCUAGAAGAACAAAUGAGGGAUUUUCCAUAGAUUUUGUUUUAUAAAAUAUCAUCCAUGACUAUAUUUCAGAAUUUGGCUAUAAUUUCAGUAAGGAUGGUAUCACAUUUCUGAACGUUACAGUAGAGUCGAAAGAUGUGGUUUUUCUUAAGAGAGAAACGAUUAAAUGUAAAAAUAACACUUCACUUAACAGCCCUGCUGUCCCGGAAAAAAAUAUCCUUAAAGAAAGUCACUAUUGAAACUGAUCCUACCCAGAAUAGAAUAGAAUACAAAUAAAUUACUAGCGACCUGUGUGCCCAAAACACUAAAAGAGCUUCUUUAAAUAAGACAGUCUUACCCUAAGGAAUUAUUUCUCUUUGAAGAACUUUGUUUUAGAAGUAAAUAAACAACAAACAUACAAAAGGUAAUAUUAAUACAUCAGAGUAACCUACAAACAGAUGCUGUUGGUUCUUGUCUGUUUCUUUGAAUGUCUUUUUUUCUCAGCCAGCUGGGCUAACGAGCGAGCGAGAAGGUCUCAGUUUUUCUCCCGGUCACAAGUGUUUCCAUUAAUGAGUCAAAAUAUAGACCCUUUGAAUUCAGAUGUUCUGGGCGAUCCUUUCUGGUCUGCCCCUUCUUUAGCUGCUUUCUCCAGCUAACUUUAUCUCUAUUUUAUCCAGCUCUCUAUUCUGGACAUGGCACAGUCCUGUGCCUGUGAAUGUAAGGAAAACGUCCCAUCAUGGAGAUUCUCAGCAAAACAUUCAUAACCAGGAGUGGAAAUGAUGCAGGAAUCAUUUCCCAGAGACCAGAUGGGGCGGAUUCCUAUUCAAAGAGUUAAAUGACAAAGAAAAGAAAGUCUGAUAUGACAGAAUAUAGGAAUUUUUUUUUUUUUUUGAGACAGUCUUGCUCUGUCACCCAGGCUAGAGAGCAGUGGCAUGAUCAUAGCUCACCGCAGCCUUGACCUCCCAGGCUCAAGAGAUUCUACCGCCUCAGCCGCCCGAGUAGCUGGGACCACAGGUGCCCACCACCACGCUGGGCUAAUUUUUGUAUUUUUUGGUAGACACGGGGUUUCAUCAUGUUGCCCAUGCUGGUCUUGAACCCCUUAGCUCAAGAGAUUUGCCCACCUCAACCUCUCAAAGUGCUGGGAUUACAGGCGUGAGACAGCACACCCAAUCUGAAUAUGGGAAUUUAUGCAAAGCAGAGGUAAGGGCCGGGAGAACUCAGGUUGGAGGAGGAGACAAGGUACCUCCAGCACUGGUGACAAGAGUAAGAAGUAGCCUGGCCAGGCAGCCCCCAAGAACUGAGUGGGCUUCAGGGCAGGAGUUUUCUACCCAAGGCAGCCCUCGAAACUGGGCUUCCAGUUUGACCCGGAGAGAAGAAUGCCUGAUAUUUCUUUAGUAAAACUGACUACGUUUCUAAAAAAAAAAAAAGCCAUUCUCAGCCUGAGUCUCCUCACCUGUACAAUAGCACUAGUAACUAUGCCCAUCCUGCAACACUGAGAGGCAGAUGCGAGAAUUUCUAAACAUGAUGUGGCACUGGCAAGUGGCCAUAUUGCACAAACACAAAGCUUCUGCCGGCCGGGCGCGGUGGCUCAAGCCUGUAAUCCCAGCACUUUGGGAGGCCGAGACGGGCGGAUCAUGAGGUCAGGAGAUCGAGACCAUCCUGGCUAACACGGUGAAACCCCGUCUCUACUAAAAAUACAAGAAAAUUAGCCGGGCGAGGUGGCGGGCGCCUGUAGUCCCAGCUACUCGGGAGGCUGAGGCAGGAGAAUGGCAUGAACCCGGGGGCGGAGCUUGCAGUGAGCCGAGAUCGCCACUGCACUCCAGCCUGGGGCACAGAGCAAGACUCCGCGUCAAAAAAAAAAAAAAAA
RNAcentral lists this long non-coding RNA (1926 nucleotides) under Macaca fascicularis (crab-eating macaque). Its description in RNAcentral is "lncRNA (ENSMFAG00000060838.1)". Lineage: Eukaryota; Metazoa; Chordata; Mammalia; Primates; Cercopithecidae. The record is from RNAcentral.